Molecule: ribosomal RNA, 255 nt
Filed under: uncultured bacterium
Lineage: Bacteria
Description: partial 16S ribosomal RNA
Rfam family: Bacterial small subunit ribosomal RNA
Source: RNAcentral
GACAGAGGGUGCAAACGUUGUUCGGAAUUACUGGGCGUAAAGCGCGUGUAGGCGGCUGUGUAAGUCGGGCGUGAAAUCCCAUGGCUCAACCAUGGAAGUGCACCCGAAACUGCGUAGCUAGAGUCCUGGAGAGGAAGGUGGAAUGCUUGGUGUAGAGGUGAAAUUCGUAGAUAUCAAGCGGAACACCGGUGGCGAAGGCGGCCUUCUGGACAGUGACUGACGCUGAGACGGCGAAAAGCGUGGGGAGCAAACAGG